UAGCUAGUUGGUGAGGUAAAGGCUUACCAAGGCGACGAUCUGUAGCGGGUCUGAGAGGAUGAUCCGCCACACUGGAACUGAGACACGGUCCAGACUCCUACGGGAGGCAGCAGUGGGGAAUUUUGGACAAUGGGGGCAACCCUGAUCUAGCCAUGCCGCGUGAGUGAAGAAGGCCUUCGGGUUGUAAAGCUCUUUCGGCCGGGAAGAAAUCGCAUGGGCCAAUACCCUGUGUGGAUGACGGUACCGGAAUAAGAAGCACCGGCUAACUACGUGCCAGCAGCCGCGGUAAUACGUAGGGUGCGAGCGUUAAUCGGAAUUACUGGGCGUAAAGCGUGCGCAGGCGGUUUUGUAAGACAGGCGUGAAAUCCCCGGGCUUAACCUGGGAACUGCGUUUGUGACUGCAAGGCUAGAGUACGGCAGAGGGGGGUGGAAUUCCACGUGUAGCAGUGAAAUGCGUAGAGAUGUGGAGGAACACCAAUGGCGAAGGCAGCCCCCUGGGUCGAUACUGACGCUCAUGCACGAAAGCGUGGGUAGCAAACAGGAUUAGAUACCCUGGUAGUCCACGCCCUAAACUAUGUCAACUAGGUGUUGGGUGGGUAAAACCAUUUAGUACCGUAGCUAACGCGUGUAGUUGACCGCCUGGGGAGUACGGCCGCAAGGUUAAAACUCAAAGGAAUUGACGGGGACCCGCACAAGCGGUGGAUGAUGUGGAUUAAUUCGAUGCAACGCGAAAAACCUUACCUACCCUUGACAUGCCAGGAACUUGCCAGAGAUGGCUUGGUGCCCGAAAGGGAGCCUGGACACAGGUGCUGCAUGGCUGUCGUCAGCUCGUGUCGUGAGAUGUUGGGUUAAGUCCCGCAACGAGCGCAACCCUUGUCGUUAAUUGCCAUCAUUUAGUUGGGCACUUUAACGAGACUGCCGGUGACAAACCGGAGGAAGGUGGGGAUGACGUCAAGUCCUCAUGGCCCUUAUGGGUAGGGCUUCACACGUCAUACAAUGGUCGGUACAAAGGGUUGCCAAGCCGCGAGGCGGAGCCAAUCCCAGAAAGCCGAUCGUAGUCCGGAUUGCAGGCUGCAACUCGCCUGCAUGAAGUCGGAAUCGCUAGUAAUCGUGGAUCAGCAUGUCACGGUGAAUACGUUCCCGGGUCUUGUACACACCGCCCGUCACACCAUGGGAGCGGGUUCCGCCAGAAGUAGGUAGCCUAACCGCAAGGGGGGCGCUUACCACGGCGGGGUUCGUGACUGGGUGAAGUCGUAACAAGGUAGCCGUAGGGGAACCUGCGGCUG
Molecule: ribosomal RNA, 1286 nt
Filed under: metagenome
Description: bacterial SSU rRNA
Rfam family: Bacterial small subunit ribosomal RNA
Source: RNAcentral